Molecule: long non-coding RNA, 714 nt
Organism: Cynocephalus volans (Philippine flying lemur)
Lineage: Eukaryota; Metazoa; Chordata; Mammalia; Dermoptera; Cynocephalidae
Exons: 3
Source: RefSeq, a predicted model, not a curated record
GGAAAACGUUCUAAACGUCCUGGGGAUGGGACAGGGAGAAGCGCAAGAAUAGAGGGAAGCAUAACAUCCGGUUCUUCCACAUCGUCGUCAGCACUUGGUCAUGCCACGUCGUGUGUGGGCAUUGCUAUUCUAAUAGAUAUAAAGUGGUGUCUCCUGUGGGUUCAGCCUGCAUUUUCCUGAUGACCAGUCAUGAAACCACUUCAUCUUUGCUCGUCAGUUGUUCCCAGCUGUGCCCACGAUGGCUAAAAGAGUGAGGUCGUGGAAGCGGAGUCCCCGGCAGCCCGCAGUUCUGCCACCUGCUGCGGGGUGGGGCCUGCACGUCGUCCCUGCAGCCCCUGAGUGCUCUGACAGCUGAGAGCCCAGAGUCCUCCCCUGGCUGCUCACAAGGCGAAGAGAAGAGACCCGACGGAGGGAGAUGAGUUGGAAGGAAACCAAGAGACAGAGCAGCCCUCGACUCCAGUGACAGCGGGAAAAACGAUCGUCUUCAGAGGGCGGUGUCCAGAUAAAACGUCCCAAUUCAGGAUCAGUGAGGGCUGGUCACCUGGCUGGCAGGAUAUCCACAUGCAAUGUUGUGCAACCAGCACCUGGACCAUCCCGUGUAACUCAAAGGACCGGGUCAGUGUUCUUUCAUCUCUUAUGACAUCUGUGCUUCCAAACUUACUGGUUACAAAUACAACUAGGUUUUCUAUGUUUAAAUUCUUAUUAAAAUUUCCA